RNAcentral lists this transfer RNA (102 nucleotides) under Dryophytes versicolor (chameleon treefrog). RNAcentral describes it as "tRNA-Ser". Lineage: Eukaryota; Metazoa; Chordata; Amphibia; Anura; Hylidae. The record is from RNAcentral.
GAGUAUGAUGGGAUAAGCAAGAACUGCUAAUUACUUACUUCUAUGGUUCGACUCCGUAGCAAACUCGACUUGCUCCUACUGAAUUAAAUUUCCGUAAAAGCC